This 1037-nucleotide small RNA is filed under the name Histoplasma capsulatum. RNAcentral's name for it is "hypothetical RNA". Lineage: Eukaryota; Fungi; Ascomycota; Eurotiomycetes; Onygenales; Ajellomycetaceae. The record is from RNAcentral. RNAcentral also lists the same sequence under 1 other name.
GUCUACGUACACCCGGAUGUGUUGCACAACCAAGUCUUGCAUUCAUAUCGCGGGAUAAUCCUGCAGGAGGGAGUUCCAUUUUCUCUCGUUCUACAAUACCCAUUCAUGAUAUAACCAUACCACUCCACUGUCCAUUCAUCUGUGCUACAGUGAAAUCCGUCAUGUCUAAACCAGACGAGGCCAGAGAACUAAGUCUUAUAUCAAAACUCGAGCUUAGAAUUGCCCUCGCAGACAGCGAUUCCAAGUUACAGUCUCUUCUCCAGACAUAUCUUGGUCCCCUCCUCCUAAAACUAGCUUCAGAAAGUCUUGCAGUGCGCAACAAAGUCAUUUCUAUCUGCCAACAUAUCAACACACGAAUCCGGCCAGCAUCUAUCACUCUGCCUAUCGCAGCUCUUCUGAAACAGUUUAAAGAUGUUAAUGCACCGCUGGUGAGACAUUUCGAUCUUAUUUAUAUCAAGCAGGGUCUUGAUCGGAUUCCCGCCAAUGAGCGCAUCGAUCUCAUACCAGAUCUGAUCCAGGGCAUUGCCGGGGUAGGAGGUUCCAUUUCAGCUUCAUCACAAGGCUCCAUCGUGUUCAAUCUCCUACUGAGAUUGCUACCUUUAUUGAAGCUGCCACGAAGAGGUAGCGAAGAAGAUCUAGCACUGAGAACAAAACUAGGUAUCUCGAAUGAAGACGCUGCAUUCCUGGCAAAAUGGUUUUCUAAAAUCCUUCUUUUCUUCCCCGGUAGAAAGGAUGCGACGAAAUGUCCCGGCCUUACUCCUUCGGAGUACAGAUUUGUGAACAGAGAUUCACCGCCUGACGAGACUUGGAAUCCGUCGGCAGCUGGCGGUCUUAACUUGAUCGAAACUAAGGUUUCUCUCGCAAAGUUUUUGGCCAGCGGGGCUUUUACCGAUUCUGAGCGCUUUAUCGGUGCUGUCAUUGCCUCUGCUGACCCAAAUAGUCGUCUUUCAGAUGUUGGGGAAGAUAUACUCAAACGUUUCCGUCCAGAUUUGGAAAACGCGGAAGUUGUGGAUGAACUAUUUACACUUUACUUUGGA